GGCAAGUGCGUUCCUGAAAUUAUCUUAGUUAUUUAGUGUAAAAUUGCUGUUAUUUAUUGCUGAUUUGCUGCUUUUUAACCGCCACAUAGCCGUUGACGAGGGUGCAACAAAGGUUUGUGGAUUGCAUGCAUUAUAUUUAUAUUUUUGGUAUUUAUUGCUCGUGUAUGUAGUGUGCAAGCAAAGGUAGGUUAUAAGUAAAAAUCGGCGCGAUGCGGUGCAUGUGUAAAAGUGCAAUAAGCAAAUGCGCACAUAGGAGGUUGCUGAUCACAUUGGACCUGAUAUUAAGUUUAGUUAUUGAAACAACUGAAAACCAACAAUUUCAAGAAAAUGGCGGAGAAUUUGAUCAUCUACAUUUACACACCAACAUUGUAUGAAUAUUAGCAUCCCUGCAGCAUACAAGCAACAACCCAGCAAUUUUCAAUCUUCUAGAUUGUUAAACAUCAUCAUUUUCUUCUUUUACACGUUAUUCUUUAAUCAUCUCUCUAAUCAUGCUUAAAUUUUUGCGUUUUAGCAAAAAUAUCUUAAAAUUACAUUUAGGCCACAAUAUGGCCUAUUUGUACUGCGUGGUGUGAUUACAAUAUAACUAAUACAUAAAAUAUGUAUUAGAGGCGGAUGUUAGCAGUCGUAAAUCAUAAUACGUCGGCAAUAAAAUCUUAUUACCAUCGUA
Dalotia coriaria is the source of this 667-nucleotide long non-coding RNA. RefSeq lists it as uncharacterized. The record is from RefSeq and is a predicted model, not a curated record. The transcript is spliced from 2 exons. Lineage: Eukaryota; Metazoa; Arthropoda; Insecta; Coleoptera; Staphylinidae.